Molecule: ribosomal RNA, 492 nt
Filed under: uncultured bacterium
Lineage: Bacteria
Description: partial 16S ribosomal RNA
Rfam family: Bacterial small subunit ribosomal RNA
Source: RNAcentral
AGUGAACGCUGGCGGUAGGCCUAACACAUGCAAGUCGAACGGCAGCACAGCAAGAGCUUGCUCUUACGGGUGGCGAGUGGCGGACGGGUGAGGAAUACAUCGGAAUCUACUUUUUCGUGGGGGAUAACGUAGGGAAACUUACGCUAAUACCGCAUACGACCUACGGGUGAAAGCAGGGGAUCUUCGGACCUUGCGCGAUUGAAUGAGCCGAUGUCGGAUUAGCUAGUUGGCGGGGUAAAGGCCCACCAAGGCGACGAUCCGUAGCUGGUCUGAGAGGAUGAUCAGCCACACUGGAACUGAGACACGGUCCAGGCUCCUACGGGAGGCAGCAGUGGGGAAUAUUGGACAAUGGGCGCAAGCCUGAUCCAGCCACACCGCGUGGGUGAAGAAGGCCUUCGGGUUGUAAAGCCCUUUUGUUGGGAAAGAAAAGCAGCAGGUUAAUACCCCGCUGUUCUGACGGUACCCAAAGAAUAAGCACCGGCUAACUUCGUG